RNAcentral lists this unclassified non-coding RNA (400 nucleotides) under uncultured fungus. Its description in RNAcentral is "sequence contains ITS1". The stretch from base 1 to 104 matches the Rfam family "5.8S ribosomal RNA", at positions 50 to 154 of the family's 154-position model. The record is from RNAcentral. Lineage: Eukaryota; Fungi.
GAAACGCGAUAAUUAGUGCGAAUUGCAGAAUUCAGUGAAUCAUCAAAUCUUUGAACGCAAGUUGCGCCUGCGGGAAACCCGUGGGCAUGCCUCUUUCAGUGUCGGUCAACCAUACCAACAAUCUCUGAUUGUGCUCGGUGUCGUGCGGCUUGUGCGCCGGCCACCUCGGUGGCCGCACACAUCCGUUAAAUCGGAAGCGCUCGUCGACUCGUGCGCGCUCGGUUUGCAAUGGCAGCCAUCUGCAGUGCUUGGACAGUCAAAUGUUUGAGUGUGGCGAUCUGUCGUGACAAACGCGCAACGCACGGGUCAUCAAGGCGGCGUCGACAGCACGCGCCCGGCAACGGGUGUGCAACCUCUCGAACAAUGACCUGAAAGUGGUAAGACUACCCGCUUGACUUAA